This 374-nucleotide long non-coding RNA is filed under the name Cervus hanglu yarkandensis (Yarkand deer). RNAcentral's name for it is "lncRNA (ENSCHYG00000010480.1)". Lineage: Eukaryota; Metazoa; Chordata; Mammalia; Artiodactyla; Cervidae. The record is from RNAcentral.
GCAGGAGCAUCCACCGCUGCAGCAGUUUGCACAGCUGAGAAGUCCGAGAUUCAAGAGGGGAGGAGGUGGGAGAGGCUGGAGGAUGGUGGGGUGGCAGUGACAGCUCCGGGCCCGCCCGGGCUGGGCGGCGCAGGUGCGCUGGGGGCGCGGGGCACCCGAGCCCGGGCGCAGGUGCGCGGGGGCGCGGGGCGCGGGGCGCACGGGCGGGCAAAUAGCUGACAGCAUCGUCACGGCGGCGCGAGGCAGCUCGCGCCCCGCCUACCUGCGGGAGGAGCCCGUAUCCGCACAGCCUGCGCUGCCCGGUCCUAUUCGAGGCGAGCUCAGAAGCAGCUCUGGGAAGAGUUGUGUUCAUCCUCAGGUGCUUCCUAGUUAAU